This 881-nucleotide long non-coding RNA is filed under the name Numida meleagris (helmeted guineafowl). RNAcentral describes it as "lncRNA (ENSNMEG00000017732.1)". Lineage: Eukaryota; Metazoa; Chordata; Aves; Galliformes; Numididae. The record is from RNAcentral.
UUAAAUCCAUCUGAAUUUCAAAUUUUGUGUUCAAUUUUAUUGUGCUGAUAGAAGUGUCAGACACUCAGACUGUUUUUCUGACAUGAGGAUAAGACCAAAUCCCCAUGCUCUGACUUUUGCACCACUGGAAUGCUGAAUUCAUAGAAUCAUAGAAUGGUUUGGGUUGGAAGGGACCUUUAUGAUCACCUAGUUCCAACCCCCCUGCUAUAGGCAGGGACUCCUUCCUCUAGACCAGUUUGCUUAAAACCCCAUCUAGCCUGGCCUUGAAUGGUUUCAGGGAGGGGACAUCAACAACCUCACCAGGCAACCUGUUCCAGUGUCUCAUCACCCUCACAGUAAAGAAUUUCUUCCUAAUAUGUAGUCCAAAUCUACCCUCUUCCAGUUUACAGCCAUUUCCCCUUGUCCUGUUGCUACAUGCCCUUAUAAGAAGUCCUUCCUGAGCUUUCCUGUACGGCCCCUUCAGGUACUGGAAGGCUGCUAUAAGGUCCAUCUGGUGCCUUCUUCAUGCUGAAGAGCCCUGUCUCUCUCAGCCUGUCCUCAUAGGGGAGGUGCUCCAGCCUUCUGUUCAUUUCCAUGGCCCUCCUCUGGACCUGCUCCACCAGCUCCAUGUCCUUGUAUUGGAGGCCCCAGAACUGGACGCAGAAUUGGUUGAGCAAACCGGGGUGGGUAGACUGAGGCAUGGACCGGCAACUGCCUUAUCCAAAGCCACAGACUGAGCCAGUACAAGCAAUGUAAAUGACAAUAAUUUCUCACUGUUACUACUGGAGGGAAAGAAAAGAACAUUAGCAGCAUUAAGAAACCCCACAGCAGUUGUUUCUCGUUUGUAGGAAGUGACUCUACGGUAUGACUGCUAGCAAAAUAAAAGAUCCAAAGGCACAUCA